Molecule: unclassified non-coding RNA, 251 nt
Filed under: Hevea brasiliensis (rubber tree)
Lineage: Eukaryota; Viridiplantae; Streptophyta; Magnoliopsida; Malpighiales; Euphorbiaceae
Source: RNAcentral
AGCCUUUGCCCGAAUGUUGGCAUGAGAGUUCUUUAGAUAAGCAAGGAGCGGGACCAAACCUCCAAUUGAGUGUAGAUCAUUUGCCAUGUCAAUAGAUUCAACAUGCUCUUGCAGUUCAUCCAACAUAUCUUCAAUAUCAGCAGGAGCAAUUCCCUGAGCCUCCAAGACUUGCUCUGGGGUUUGCAUGACGAGAGUUAUCUCCUUCAUGCGUUUGAUGACAUCAACAGUCUGCGCUUGCAUAGCUUCCAUAA